UACGAAGGGGGCUAGCGUUGCUCGGAAUCACUGGGCGUAAAGCGCACGUAGGCGGCUCUUUAAGUCAGGGGUGAAAUCCCAAGGCUCAACCUUGGAACUGCCUUUGAUACUGGGGAUCUCGAGUCCGGUAGGGGAGCGUGGAAUUCCCGGUGUAGUGGUGAAAUGCGUAGAGAUCGGGAGGAACACCCGUGGCGAAGGCGGCUCACUGGGCCGGUCCUGACGCUGAGACGCGAAGGCGUGGGGAGCGAACGGG
RNAcentral lists this ribosomal RNA (253 nucleotides) under uncultured bacterium. RNAcentral describes it as "partial 16S ribosomal RNA". It matches the Rfam family "Bacterial small subunit ribosomal RNA", at positions 524 to 776 of the family's 1533-position model. The record is from RNAcentral.